RNAcentral lists this long non-coding RNA (972 nucleotides) under Mus caroli (Ryukyu mouse). Its description in RNAcentral is "predicted gene, 73054 (MGP_CAROLIEiJ_G0006537.1)". Lineage: Eukaryota; Metazoa; Chordata; Mammalia; Rodentia; Muridae. The record is from RNAcentral.
GGCCUUAGAGCAGCAGCCACCAGGAGAGAGCCCUGUCCGUAGUUCUACAGGGCCCAGCAUGUUGGAUCGAGGAGCUAAUUCUUGGUUUUAUUCCUGUGAAACCCGGACACAGAGGGAGAAGGAGAAGAGGAGUCAGCGGCUCGCAGAGAUACUGAGGAGGUACAAAGAGCAGCUGCUGAAGGACUUCCCCCUGGCCCGGGUGCUUCCCUACUUGGUGUACGAUGGUGUGUUCUCUCUCAAAGAGUACAGAGAGAUCCUCUCGCAGGCCUGCUACCCGGAGAGGGUGGAGUGCUUUCUCCUGAAGCUCUUCUCCAAAGGUCCAAGUGCUUUCUGUGCCUUCUGCGCUCAUCUAGAGGAACUCAACCCUUACCUGCUCACCUCCCUUUUCCUUUAUUACCAAGAGCAAACCCAACGGGUCCUACAAGAUGUGCUUGUGGCGGAAGAGGCAGCGAGGAGCAGGAAUGGAGCUCAGUGGGACUCCAGCACUGUCUCUGACCCGGAGGACCAAGAACAAAGGGCUCAAUUAUUUAACAAGGAAGAAGUGAAUCAGGGAUUGUGCCUCAGAACUGCCAACAGAGAUCAAGAUAACGAGCGGCUUGUGCUGACCCAGGUCAUUGCCAGCUGCCUCUGGGAGACAUCAGGAGCAUCAACAGCUCUUCCAACUGCUUGCCUCUGUCUGCAGCUGGUCCAGCCGUGCGCUCACACCAACAGUCCAUCCAAGACUCUCUGCGCAUGAGCUGCCUGUGCCCCACAGAGCAUCGCUGCCUGCCUAGCUCUGCAGGCUGAACUCUGGUCCAUCCAGAAACUAGCACAUACUUCCCACGUGUCAGCAAAGAACAUGAUAGGUCUAUACCUACUUGCUACCAACCAUCGCUAUACUUGGAAAACUCUUUUGAAAAUAGUAACUGAGUUAUGAAAAGUUGAGACAAGCUAAAUUCCAAGCACUGGACUUCCAAUAGGAUCAAACCAAUG